Molecule: ribosomal RNA, 425 nt
Filed under: uncultured bacterium
Lineage: Bacteria
Description: partial 16S ribosomal RNA
Rfam family: Bacterial small subunit ribosomal RNA
Source: RNAcentral
GUGGGGAAUAUUGGACAAUGGGCGCAAGCCUGAUCCAGCCAUGCCGCGUGAGUGAUGAAGGCCUUAGGGUUGUAAAGCUCUUUCGUCAGGGAAGAUAAUGACGGUACCUGAAGAAGAAGCCCCGGCUAACUUCGUGCCAGCAGCCGCGGUAAUACGAAGGGGGCUAGCGUUGCUCGGAAUCACUGGGCGUAAAGCGCACGUAGGCGGCUAUCUAAGUUAGGGGUGAAAUCCUGGAGCUUAACUCCAGAACUGCCUUUGAUACUGGAGAGCUAGAGUUAGGGAGAGGUGAGUGGAACUGCGAGUGUAGAGGUGACAUUCGUAGAUAUUCGCAAGCACACCAGUGGCGAAGGCGGCUCACUGGCCCGAUACUGACGCUGAGGUGCGAAAGCGUGGGGAGCAAACAGGAUUAGAUAACCUUGUAGUCC